CACGUAGGGCGCAAGCGUUGUCCGGAAUUAUUGGGCGUAAAGGGCUCGUAGGCGGUUUGUCGCGUCGGGAGUGAAAACUCAGGGCUCAACCCUGAGCGUGCUUCCGAUACGGGCAGACUAGAGGUAUGCAGGGGAGAACGGAAUUCCUGGUGUAGCGGUGGGAAUGCGCAGAUAUCAGGAGGAACACCGGUGGCGAAGGCGGUUCUCUGGGCAUUACCUGACGCUGAGGAGCGAAAGCAUGGGGAGCGAACAGG
Molecule: ribosomal RNA, 254 nt
Filed under: uncultured bacterium
Lineage: Bacteria
Description: partial 16S ribosomal RNA
Rfam family: Bacterial small subunit ribosomal RNA
Source: RNAcentral